This 841-nucleotide long non-coding RNA is filed under the name Equus caballus (horse). Its description in RNAcentral is "lncRNA (ENSECAG00000045343.1)". The record is from RNAcentral. Lineage: Eukaryota; Metazoa; Chordata; Mammalia; Perissodactyla; Equidae.
UGAAGGGAGUAGGGAAUUCAGAACCGGCUUCCUUCCCGUCACCAUGGACACCCAGUCCGUGUACAGGGGGCGGGGCUUCGGAGGGGCGGGGUGAGGCUCCACAGGAGAGGGGAGGGCAAGACCAGCCCAGAGUCAAGCAGUCCCUGCUGGGAUUGCGACCCUGCUGUCUCAGCGCCCUUGCCUGGGAUCCCUGGGUUCAGGGCCUGUCCCAUUCCAGCUGGCGACGUGACAGAUCCAAUGAAUUCACCAGUGAACUGGGGACACCUCCUGACUGCACAGGAUGGAACAGCGCUCACAUGGGCAGAGGCUGGAUGGACAACUGAGAGAGCUGCAUCAGAGCAAGGGCGCACUGCACGCAGCACAAGUCAGAGAGGAAAAUGUAGAUCAAUCUUUGGAGCAAAGCUCAGCGCCCUAGGGCGCCUCGUCAUCAGAAGUUCUGGAUCUGCGAGAGGAUGAGAGAAAGGCGUCCUCACCCCUGACAGCUGUAUUUGGUGCAUUUUCUUCUCCACUACAGCAGAAGAAUAAGCAUGCUUCUCCUCCGAGCAGAUCCAGUUACCCUGAACAUUCAUGUCCCUUUGCUUGGCGUCUUCCAAAAAAGGCAAAUGUGGAAAGGCCUCGUGAAGUUUUUCUCUCCAACAUUUAAUUAUGGAAAUUUCAAAACACAAUGGAAAUAUGAAAUAAUUUUUUAUUUAACCCCAUAUUCCCACAGUGUUGAUUCUACCAUUAACAUUUGAAUGUACUUGCUUUAUGUCUAUCUGUCCAUGUGUUCAUAGUCCUUCCGUCAACCUGUCUUAAUUUUAAUCCAUUUCAAGGAAUGUUACAGACAUCAGUAACAUGUGCC